GGCGCAUUCGUCUAGCGGAAGGACACCACGCUUUCAAUGUGGCAAGACGGGUUCGACUCCCGUAUGCGCCA
Molecule: transfer RNA, 71 nt
Filed under: Candidatus Berkelbacteria bacterium
Lineage: Bacteria; Candidatus Berkelbacteria
Description: tRNA-Glu
Rfam family: tRNA
About the family: Transfer RNA (tRNA) molecules are approximately 80 nucleotides in length. Their secondary structure includes four short double-helical elements and three loops (D, anti-codon, and T loops).
Source: RNAcentral